AGUGAACGCUGGCGGUAGGCCUAACACAUGCAAGUCGAACGGCAGCACAGGAGAGCUUGCUCUCUGGGUGGCGAGUGGCGGACGGGUGAGGAAUACAUCGGAAUCUACUCUGUCGUGGGGGAUAACGUAGGGAAACUUACGCUAAUACCGCAUACGACCUACGGGUGAAAGCAGGGGAUCUUCGGACCUUGCGCGAUUGAAUGAGCCGAUGCCGGAUUAGCUAGUUGGCGGGGUAAAGGCCCACCAAGGCGACGAUCCGUAGCUGGUCUGAGAGGAUGAUCAGCCGCACUGGAACUGAGACACGGUCCAGACUCCUACGGGAGGCAGCAGUGGGGAAUAUUGGACAAUGGGCGCAAGCCUGAUCCAGCCAUACCGCGUGGGUGAAGAAGGCCUUCGGGUUGUAAAGCCCUUUUGUUGGGAAAGAAAUCCAGCUGGCUAAUACCCGGUUGGGAUGACGGUACCCAAAGAAUAAGCACCGGCUAACUUCGUGCCAGCCGCCGCCGCAG
RNAcentral lists this ribosomal RNA (506 nucleotides) under uncultured bacterium. Its description in RNAcentral is "partial 16S ribosomal RNA". It matches the Rfam family "Bacterial small subunit ribosomal RNA", at positions 29 to 523 of the family's 1533-position model. The record is from RNAcentral.